GAGCGGCUUGUAGGGUAUUCCUUCAGAUCCUCAUAGGUUCCCAAGCAGGCAUGUUGUCCAUGCUCCUCAGGGUAUUUCAGAGAGAGAAUAGAAUACACACAGACACCAGACCAAGGCAGAAGGAGGCCGACCGCCCAUCAUGGUGGGAAAGGGCAAGAAACAACUGGUCAUGGAGAAGGCACAGGUCUGCUGGGGAGGCAUCACCCCAAGCCCCCACCAUCAAUGAGCAGGAGAAGAGACACGAGAGGUUGGAGAAGCUCAAAAGAGAGCUCCAGAACAUAAAAAAUGCCAGAGACGAACUUCAGGGAAUCCUGGCCAACUACACUAACAAGGAUUUAAAUGACAGGAUCAACUUUGAGACAUUCAUGCUUGAGAUGCAACAUGACCAGGUGAUGACUGACCUGAAGAGAAUGCCCCAGGACAUCAGUGAGGCCUUGUCCAAGUGCUAGCAGUUGACUAAAGAAAAUCAGUUCUACUGCACAAAGUCAGGAUGUUGAGGAAGGAGAACAGACAGCUGCUAAGGGAGCAGAUUGCAUUGGAAGAAGGCAACACAGAAACAAAAAUACUAUGUAAGGAAGGCAGCCAGAAGAUCAAAGACCACUAUACUAAGCAGCAGCAGGUCUGAAAUAUUCUGCAGAAGCUCAAACAGAUCAGAGACCAGGUCAAGAUCUUGCUCAGACACAACUGUUCACCAGGAGCACUGGGUGUGCAAAGCAAAUUAACCACCAUUGCAUCUAAUCCUUGUAACCAUGGCAAUCUUGGGCUGCAUUUUCUUCUUUUUUGGUUUGCUAUGGGUAAUGAGGCCUUUAUUUUGUCUAGCCUCUGGUCCAGCAAGACUGCCUGUUUGGAAGGCUUCAGAGUAGUGCUAAGAUACAUCAAGAUCUGCUCGGCAUCCAGGAGGGCUAUGAGAAUGCCAAUUUUGGCUGGUCCUGUUAGGUCAUCUAGAAUUAUAUCAUGGUGAUCAGUCAAGUGAAUUUGAAAAACUUUGAGGUAUCAUCUGUAACAUCUCUCAUGCUCAGACUUGAACAUCUCUCAUGCUUCAGCAGAACACCCACCCCAAUGAGGCAUGCCUAUAUUCAUCCUGAACAGAUUAUUACCAGCAGUGACUGCCUUUGCACUAUUUCACCAAGGCCAGCAACAGGCUGUAGGUCUGUGCUGAACAUCUGCAGCAAGAGAAUGAUGCUUAGCUUAAUUAUUUUGUUUGGUUUUGGUUAGAGUUUUGAUUUCUUUGUGUCUUUGGUUUUCCUGUGUUUCAUUUGAAGUUUCAUUAUGUAUUCAUUAUCUUUUCGUUACUGUAAUUAAUUUGCUUUUUUAGCUAAAUCUAUAUACUGUAUAAACUGACGCCCCACUUCAAGAUGUUAUUGAAUAAAAUUAGUGUAUUGUUAUAG
This is a long non-coding RNA of Mus musculus (house mouse), 1388 nucleotides long. RefSeq annotates it as RIKEN cDNA 1700091H14 gene. The record is from RefSeq and is marked validated. The transcript is spliced from 5 exons. NCBI's taxonomy places the organism in Eukaryota, Metazoa, Chordata, Mammalia, Rodentia, Muridae.